This 188-nucleotide non-coding RNA is filed under the name Candidatus Rokuibacteriota bacterium. Its description in RNAcentral is "6S RNA". It matches the Rfam family "6S / SsrS RNA". From Rfam's summary of the family: E. coli 6S RNA was the first non coding RNA to be sequenced, but its function was unknown until recently. The record is from RNAcentral. Lineage: Bacteria; Candidatus Rokuibacteriota.
GCUUCCCUGCGGCUACGCGUGAUGUCAGGGUAAGUUUCGAGCCUCAAUCGAAACGACAAGGGGGCUUGAGUGCGAGGGUGGUGUGCAGGCCCCUCCUAGAAGGGGAAGCCUAAAGCCCUCCUACAUAGCGCCCACCUGGAUCAUCCAGGUUCGAAAACGCCGGGGCACACGGUAGCGGCGGGGAAUUU